This 484-nucleotide ribosomal RNA is filed under the name Pseudomonadaceae bacterium 'ARUP UnID 546'. RNAcentral describes it as "bacterial SSU rRNA". It matches the Rfam family "Bacterial small subunit ribosomal RNA", at positions 27 to 504 of the family's 1533-position model. The record is from RNAcentral. Lineage: Bacteria; Pseudomonadati; Pseudomonadota; Gammaproteobacteria; Pseudomonadales; Pseudomonadaceae.
GAUUGAACGCUGGCGGCAGGCCUAACACAUGCAAGUCGAGCGGUAACAGGGGAGCUUGCUCCCGCUGACGAGCGGCGGACGGGUGAGUAAUGCCUAGGAAUCUGCCUGGUAGUGGGGGAUAACUCGGGGAAACUCGAGCUAAUACCGCAUACGUCCUACGGGAGAAAGUGGGGGAUCUUCGGACCUCACGCUAUCAGAUGAGCCUAGGUCGGAUUAGCUAGUUGGUGAGGUAAAGGCUCACCAAGGCYGCGAUCCGUAACUGGUCUGAGAGGAUGAUCAGUCACACUGGAACUGAGACACGGUCCAGACUCCUACGGGAGGCAGCAGUGGGGAAUAUUGGACAAUGGGCGAAAGCCUGAUCCAGCCAUGCCGCGUGUGUGAAGAAGGUCUUCGGAUUGUAAAGCACUUUAAGUUGGGAGGAAGGGUUGUAACCUAAUACGUUGCAGCUUUGACGUUACCGACAGAAUAAGCACCGGCUAACUUC